UUGAACGCUGGCGGCAGGCCUAACACAUGCAAGUCGAGCGGUAACAUUGAUAGCUUGCUAUCAGAUGACGAGCGGCGGACGGGUGAGUAAUGCUUGGAAAUCUGCCUGAUAGAGGGGGACAACCACGGGAAACUGUGGCUAAUACCGCAUAAUCUAUUCGUAGCAAAGUGGGGGACCUUCGGGCCUCACGCUAUCAGAUGAGUCCAAGUGGGAUUAGCUAGUUGGUGAGGUAAGAGCUCACCAAGGCGACGAUCUCUAGCUGGUUUGAGAGGAUGAUCAGCCACACUGGAACUGAGACACGGUCCAGACUCCUACGGGAGGCAGCAGUGGGGAAUAAUUGCACAAUGGGCGCAAGCCUGAUGCAGCCAUGCCGCGU
RNAcentral lists this ribosomal RNA (376 nucleotides) under uncultured Gammaproteobacteria bacterium. RNAcentral describes it as "bacterial SSU rRNA". It matches the Rfam family "Bacterial small subunit ribosomal RNA", at positions 30 to 402 of the family's 1533-position model. The record is from RNAcentral. Lineage: Bacteria; Pseudomonadati; Pseudomonadota; Gammaproteobacteria.